RNAcentral lists this transfer RNA (74 nucleotides) under Harpadon microchir. Its description in RNAcentral is "tRNA-Leu (UUR)". It matches the Rfam family "tRNA". From Rfam's summary of the family: Transfer RNA (tRNA) molecules are approximately 80 nucleotides in length. Their secondary structure includes four short double-helical elements and three loops (D, anti-codon, and T loops). The record is from RNAcentral. Lineage: Eukaryota; Metazoa; Chordata; Actinopteri; Aulopiformes; Synodontidae.
GUUAGGGUGGCAGAGCCCGGCAAAUGCAAAAGACCUAAGCUCUUUCAACAGGGGUUCAAAUCCCCUCUCUGACU